AUACGGAGGAUGCGAGCGUUAUCCGGAUUUAUUGGGUUUAAAGGGUGCGUAGGCGGACGAUUAAGUCAGCGGUGAAAGCGUGUGGCUCAACCAUACCACUGCCGUUGAUACUGGUUGUCUUGAGUGUAAACGAGGUAGGCGGAAUGUGAUGUGUAGCGGUGAAAUGCUUAGAUAUGUCACAGAACCCCGAUUGCGAAGGCAGCUUACCAGGAUACAACUGACGCUGAGGCACGAAAGCGUGGGUAUC
Molecule: ribosomal RNA, 247 nt
Filed under: uncultured bacterium
Lineage: Bacteria
Description: partial 16S ribosomal RNA
Rfam family: Bacterial small subunit ribosomal RNA
Source: RNAcentral